GGGCUUGCUUCGGCAGCACAUAUAAUAAAAUUGGAACAAUACGAAGAAGAUUAGCAUAGCUUCUGAGCAAUGAUGUCGUCCAAAGUCUUGAAGCAUUCCAUGUUUUA
Molecule: small nuclear RNA, 107 nt
Organism: Nannospalax galili (Upper Galilee mountains blind mole rat)
Lineage: Eukaryota; Metazoa; Chordata; Mammalia; Rodentia; Spalacidae
Source: Ensembl